Mauremys mutica (yellowpond turtle) is the source of this 484-nucleotide long non-coding RNA. RefSeq lists it as uncharacterized. Lineage: Eukaryota; Metazoa; Chordata; Testudines; Geoemydidae. The record is from RefSeq and is a predicted model, not a curated record. The transcript is spliced from 3 exons.
UGAUAUAAGGACUUGUUCAGUGCCUGCGCAGGGCUGUCCACCCCAGCGACAGUAUGUACUCGGUCGGGUUUUCACAGUGCUCCAGAGCUGAAGAGUGAAGAAUACCAUCAGUCCCACAGUGAGAUUGAGGAAAAGGAGGCCUGUCACCACCAUUCCUGCCAUCCUGCAUUCCUGGUGUCCAUCAUCCUAGAGGGCCUCCUUGCCAGCGACGAAAUCCAACAGUCAUCUGGACUCCCCAGUGCUCCUCCUCAAAGGCUCUAAAUCAGCCAGAAAGUGGAAGGUUCUGGGCAUCACACCUCUAUAAGUGAAUUUAUUGCUGGUGAAAGAUACCAUAUUGAUAGCAGUGGAAAUUAAAAUGCUGCAUUUAUCCUUUAAAAAAGUUUAUUUUAUAGACCCCUGGCUUAGCACUUUUGUCACUUCAUCCUUGGAUUUUUGAAAUGGCAUUUAUCAAGCACAAGGAUCAAGCUCAGACUUCAAGAGAGAC